CUGAUAGGUUAAAAGGGGCCAAAAUGUAUGCAGUAAUACUAAAAAUAGUAUGACAUGUUGAGGGAGUUGUCUCACGCCUAGUUCUGUCAAAGGUUGUUUGAUCAGGCUGUUUCCGUCACCGCCCAUUUUGGGAAUGUACUGCGAGGCGAGGUUUCGCUUGCACAGAUGUGCUGGAAUGGAGUGCCUUUGUUGAGCCAGUCAUCAGUCUUGUAUAUAUGGUUAUCUGGUGAUACAAGAUUGUCAAUUAGAUAGUCUUUCUACUUGUGCUUUUCUGCACUUGCCAUGGUUGAGUAAGUUCAAGCAAGGAUCCCUUAUUAGUUCCUGUUGCACUCAUCUGCAUAUGAUAUGCUGGAUAGUGUUGUCGUUAAAUGAUAAACCAAAAUGUGUACGUUUGAAAUAUCACAGGUCACUACCGUCAGAGGCAAAUUUUGGAAAGUGAUGCUGGAUGUGCUAGAGUGGAGCUCUUGCCUAUACAGUUAUCUGGUGCUAAAAGACAUUAUCAGAGGGUCUUUCUGAUUGAAAAGUAUGCAUCACCUA
This 537-nucleotide long non-coding RNA is filed under the name Daphnia magna. RNAcentral describes it as "uncharacterized LOC116929600, transcript variant X1". The record is from RNAcentral. Lineage: Eukaryota; Metazoa; Arthropoda; Branchiopoda; Diplostraca; Daphniidae.